Molecule: small nuclear RNA, 107 nt
Organism: Cavia aperea (Brazilian guinea pig)
Lineage: Eukaryota; Metazoa; Chordata; Mammalia; Rodentia; Caviidae
Source: Ensembl
GUGCUCACUUCGGCUGCACAUAUACUAAAGUUGGAACCAUGCAGAGAAGAUUAGCAUGGCCCCUGUGCAAAGAUGACACGCAAAUUCGUGAAGCAUUCCGCAUUUUU